Molecule: long non-coding RNA, 1006 nt
Organism: Gallus gallus (chicken)
Lineage: Eukaryota; Metazoa; Chordata; Aves; Galliformes; Phasianidae
Source: Ensembl
GAAAAGGCUCAGAAACACCACCUCACAGCCACAGAAGCCCUGGGCUACCUGAUAUAAGCUGCAAAGGCUAAGACUUUAGCCACUACCUUAACAUAUCCAUGCAUGACACAAGAGAAGCAAUACCACCUACCUUGCAGAAAUAAGGGAGAGCCUGCAAGCACCAAACAACUGUGAAAUAAUAAGGACUACACCCUCUACCUCCCAUGUGCUCCUCCUAGCUACCCACAAGAGAAAGUAACUGGCUUAAAAGAGCUGAGGAUUAACCUAACACACCUGGGUACCACCUGCUGCUUUACUGGCUCCAGCUCACAGAUCUGUGACAAGCUGGGCGCUUGACAGCAACAUCCCUUUGAAAUACCAGAUUUGCUAAGGGUUUGGAAAAGCCUUGCUCUAGCACAAGCUCCCCCCACUCCUUCCUCCUUCCCUCCCCACCCUACCCUGCUGAACCGCAGCACCAGAGUGGCAGAACCUGAUGCUGGAGGAGAGUGAAGGAGGCAGCCACUGCCAGCCAUCAUCCAGCUCCCUCCUCCCUGAUGCCAUCCCUGAGCAGCACAGCCCCUGCCUCUGUGAAGGCUCAGGCCUGGGGGAGCAUGGCAGGAUGGGCAAAAUGAGAUGAUGCUGCCCAGGAAUCGGUUUGUAAAAUCCAUCCAGCAGGAGAGGUGUUGUCACAGGAGGGAAAAGGAGCAAGGAGCCAAGAAGCUUCAGCACCGAAAGGAGCAGCUGUGGCGGAAGGCAGCACUUGGAGUGAUCUCAUGAAUCAGCCAUGACAUUAUCUGCAGUGAAAUGCCUGGGAAGGGGUUUCCCAUGUCCUACCCUGACCUGCAAGGUUGACUCCAUGGGGGCCUGAAGGGCAUUUUGAUUGCCAAAGACAAAGGCUAAAUCAGGAGGAAAUGAUAUUUUAUUUAACCUCUGCGUCGAGGUGGGGGCCCGAGGGGAGGGCAGAGGCAGGGGGGCGGUGACAGAGGCGUGGGGAUAAUGCUGGGGGAUUCACAGCAGAUAACUGUAA